This 468-nucleotide ribosomal RNA is filed under the name uncultured bacterium. Its description in RNAcentral is "partial 16S ribosomal RNA". It matches the Rfam family "Bacterial small subunit ribosomal RNA", at positions 28 to 507 of the family's 1533-position model. The record is from RNAcentral.
GACGAACGCUGGCGGCGUGCUUAACACAUGCAAGUCGAACGGAAAGGCCCUGCUUUUGUGGGGUGCUCGAGUGGCGAACGGGUGAGUAACACGUGAGUAACCUGCCCUUGACUUUGGGAUAACUUCAGGAAACUGGGGCUAAUCCCGGAUAGGAGCUCCUGCUGCAUGGUGGGGGUUGGAAAGUUUCGGCGGUUGGGGAUGGACUCGCGGCUUAUCAGCUUGUUGGUGGGGUAGUGGCUUACCAAGGCUUUGACGGGUAGCCGGCCUGAGAGGGGGACCGGCCACAUUGGGCCUGAGAUACGGCCCAGACUCGUAUGGGAGGCAGCGGUGGGGAAUAGUGCACAGUGGGCGGAAGCCUGAUGCGGCAACGCCGCGUGCGGGAUGACGGCAUUCGGGUUGUAAACCGCUGUCGCCUGUGACGAAGCGUGAGUGACGGUAAUGGGUAAAUAAGCACCGGCUAACUACGUG